UCAUUAAUACUCCUGCUUUCAAUCAACAUCCAAUCGACGUCUCUUCACGCAAAAUCGCAUGAAACCCUUAUUCCCCCCUCUCUUCUUUACCUGAUCUCUCUCCCUCUCCUUAAGCUCUCCUCUCUCCAUGCUCUCCACUUCGUCUCUUCUCGUUGGUGAGCCCCUCUCCACCGCUGCCGUCCGCCGUCUGACCAAGUCCACUGACCGUGCCGCCCGCC
This 218-nucleotide long non-coding RNA is filed under the name Elaeis guineensis (African oil palm). RNAcentral's name for it is "long non-coding RNA (EGUI_LNC012034)". The record is from RNAcentral. Lineage: Eukaryota; Viridiplantae; Streptophyta; Magnoliopsida; Arecales; Arecaceae.